GCAUUUUCAGAGUUGAAAGUCUAACCUAAACCACCCACCACUUUAGACCCAUUUCCUCACACAACAUGCGUUAAAAAAAAGUCUUGCUUCUUCUCUCUCCCUCUGCACGAUAAAAGCAUUUGUAGAGGGAGAAAAUCUCACUUUCUCUCUCUAAACCCCCCAAACCCCCACGCUUCUUCGUCUUUUUCUCUCUCUAGCCCUAAAAUAUGAAACCCCAAUACUAGAGAGAGAAAGAGAGAAAAUCACAAAAGAUCAAACCCAAAACAUAAAGCAGCGUUUCUCACCUUCCCUAUUUUUUUCAACGUUUUAAACCCAGAUCAAACUGUGGGAAUUAUGGAGUUUCUGGGCAAAAUUGUUCAGAAGGACUUCAAGGGUCAUGGUGUCUUCUCGGGAGUUGUUCAAUCGUACGACGCGUCGUCUGGCUUAUUCGAGGUCGUCUACGAGGACGGCGAUUCUGAGGAGCUCGAUUUCUCUGAGGUCGCUUCUCUGUUGAAGCGGAAAGAAGCUGACCCGGCUGCCCACAGGCAACGGGUUGGUCGUAGGCCCAAGAAGCGCCUUCGAAUCGAGCCAAGGAAGCGUGAAGACGGAGGAGUUGGUGAAGAGACGGGUAAUUCUAUUUCUCAUUCUCAGCCAAUUGCAGAAACCCUAGGGGGACAAAGUGGUGUGGUUGUAGAGUCUAAUGAGAAAUUAGAUAUGAAUCGGAAUGUUGAUUUGAAUGAUGGAUUUAUUGGGAAUUCGAGAGAAGGUGAUUGUAGUAAUGUGAAUUUGGGAAAUAUGACUGUUGAUUUGAAUGAAGCUCUGGAGAAGGGGAGUGGAGUUUUGGAGACUUUGAGAGAAAGUGGGUCUGUUAAUGGGUGUUUGAAUGGAAAUGUUAGCAUGAAGGAGGCGCUUGAUUUGAAUGCCGGGUUUAACUUAAACUUGAAUGAAGGACUUGAUUUGAAUGAGGGGGGUCAUAUAAAUUCCAACGGUCCAGAAAAUUUGAAGAAGAGAGAGUGUAUAGACUUAAAUUUGGCUGUGAAUGGUGAUGUGGAUGAGAAUUUGGGGGAGGUUGAUUUGGGGAUUAAUCACACAGAGAGUCAGAAGAAGGAAUGUGGGUUUGAUUUGAAUUUGGGGAUCGAUGAGGAAAUUAAGGAUGACCCAGAUGGUGAUUGUGGAGGGGAAGCCAAGGAAAGUACGUCAUGUGAGGUGGUUAAAGAGGAGACUCAAAAGAUGGAUGUUGCAAGUAGGGAUUUGGAGAGAAUUUAUAAUGAAGGUGCUAUUGCUAAUUCAACGCUGCAGGAAGUUCACGUUGUGGAUGAUUCAUAUGUAGGGUUGGCUAUAGGAAUCUGGAAGGACACCAUAUCUGGUGAAGAUUUCAGGGUUGGUGAUUCUGUUGAAAUGCAGGAUACUAAAACUAUUAAAG
This 1402-nucleotide unclassified non-coding RNA is filed under the name Hevea brasiliensis (rubber tree). Lineage: Eukaryota; Viridiplantae; Streptophyta; Magnoliopsida; Malpighiales; Euphorbiaceae. The record is from RNAcentral.